AUGCCAGCCAAUUAAUCUGCUUAUCUGAAUGUGUUUCUGCAAAGAUUUAGAAAAAGCUGGCAAUAGUGAUGCCAGUUGAUCACUGCUUUUCAGAUUCUAGUGAUGGUAUAAGGU
Molecule: small nucleolar RNA, 114 nt
Filed under: Jaculus jaculus (lesser Egyptian jerboa)
Lineage: Eukaryota; Metazoa; Chordata; Mammalia; Rodentia; Dipodidae
Description: Small nucleolar RNA SNORA33 (ENSJJAG00000006382.1)
Source: RNAcentral